Molecule: long non-coding RNA, 4367 nt
Organism: Drosophila elegans
Lineage: Eukaryota; Metazoa; Arthropoda; Insecta; Diptera; Drosophilidae
Exons: 3
Source: RefSeq, a predicted model, not a curated record
GCUACGGUAGGCUGCAAUUUGGGAGGAACUUAAAACUGUAUUUAUUUAAACAUUUCCCGAUACCGCAAAGGAAUGCUCGUACUUUUGCAGGGGUUUAUCUUUCCCUUCCUUUUUUUCUUAUUUUUUUAACCUCUAUUUUCUUAUGUAAAACUACCAAAAAAAACUCCAAAAUCGCCAUACCUUUUUCACUCACUCACUAGAUCACUCACUCCAUUCGCACACUAAAGAUUAAUAGAAAAAAACACUAAGACUAAUUUAAUUCCAUUGAUUUUUCCACACUGCUGCAGCUUUUGCUGCUUAAUUUCUGGUCGGGAAUGACGAUUAAACUAUAGGAAGAUAUUAUGCCCUUUCCCUUGGUGCAACUCCGAAACCUUCAACGCCAGCGUCGACUUUGGCGUAACGUUCGAUCUCGCGCCGCACACUGCUUUGAUCACCGGUUUCUUAUGCGCUUCUGCUGGCCGCCCGUCCCUGGUCUUCUCCUUCUCCUUUUGGAGCGGCGAUUUUGGUUUUGCGCUGUGGCCACCACGGUUUUGCAAAAAAUUCUGGUACGCCUGCCUCCGCCGAUUUUACGGGUCGCGCUUGCCUUCGCCGAUUUAGAGUGUUGCUUCUUGGGACUUGGGGCGGCAACUUUUGACCUACACCUAUGCAAUAAAAUCUAGAAAAUCUAACUGACCUCAUUCGCUUCUCACUCACCCUGGACUAGGCCGCAAUCCCACUAAUGCUGGGCUAUUCCUUUUUGGUUCCUUUACCGUGAUACUUGCUGCUGCUGUUGACGGUUGCCUCUCCUGAUUAAGCACUUUUGCUUUGAACUUUAUAUUAAACACCACUUUUUGAGCCAACUAAUCUAGGAAUGGCGGCAAAUGACGCUGCAAUAUAGGCAGCAACCUAUCUCUCCACCUAAUUGGAGAAAUUCUCUCACUCAGAAAAAGUCUGACAAUUCGCCCUGUUACCCAGAUUUCAUGCUUGGUCAUUUAACCUGCCAGGCCACCGAUCCUACCCGGCAAGAUUUAGAUGGCGCCACCAAUUCUUACUUUACAUCUAGGCAUUGGACCAUCUGCAGAUGCACCAAGCGCUAUAACUUGUUUGUUGUUGUUUAUUUAAAUAUCAACAUUAACUUUUGUUUAAUGCCAACAAAAAUAUUGUCAUGCACUUGCGCUGGCCUCGUGCUCAAAUUGCUGAUCGCGUGAAAACGAAUAUUGGCAUGGACUAGACGCGCCCGAGCAUAUCAAAAUUGAUAUAAAGGCGUUUAUGAGGCAAACUCACCUGGAGAUCCAAUCAUUAUCAGCCGGAUUUAAAGACUUCCUAAGUCGGUUCCAGAUGAUGGAAUCCAAUUUUAAGACUCUCCGAAAAGAAAGAAGUGUUCUUCUACCUUGCCAAAUACUCUUGCGGCGUGUCCGGUUGACACUGGCCACAGUUAACGGAUCACAUAAUGAAAAGUUAUCUUCUGAUCCUGUCCAAUUCGGUGCUCCUAAUUCUGGAUUUCCUGAUUCCAAUGAAACUCCCGGUUCACACUCUACCAAUUUUGACCAUGCAUCAACGUCUCAGACCGCGACCCCCCGUUCUUCCGCCGGUAUAAUGAAUACUAAUUCUGCCUCUAGAGAAAUAGCUCUGCAAGCCACAGUGUGCCGUUAAAUACCCCCGUGGGCCACCACUUCUGUGAUAUUAGAACAACUAAUAUUAAAUUUAUUUAUGUUUUCCGCGCAAAUCGAAGUGCUUUUGAAAACAAUGUUAGUACCCAUUUGAGCUGUUAAAUAAAUAUUCCUGGUAAUGACUUUUCUGACUCUAAAUUCAAUUUUAAAGUGAAUAUAUCUUCGUUUAAAAUUUGACUUCCAAUCUACUUUUUCCCACGGUCCUUGAUAUUUCCUUCAUCUUUGUUUAUUGGGAAAGCUCCGUAGACUGCACAUCAAUAGUGUCUCCUUUGAUGCCAAUGUGAUAGCCUUUACUGGAACCUGGCUCAACUCCUCUGUAUCGGACUGCGAAAUAUUUGCGGCCAAUAAGUUAUGCCUAUGGUGGUCUCUCAAUUGUCGAACUCACUGCCUUAAUUCCUGACGAGCAGAACGAUUUCAUGUUUGGUCUUAUUGACAUGUCCCUUGGUCAAGUUGAUUCAGUUUUUAAUGAGAAUGGCAUAUAUUUAGAACUUAUAUUUGUACACGAAUUGUGUGAUGCGGUCAUAAUACGAACUACUCCGUCCACUUCAGAAGACGCUCAUCAUACAACUGUCCAUUUAUAUUAUUUUCCUUAUACCUAACACCUCCACGAUCCCCUUUCGAAAACGAGGUUAAUAACACAUAAAUUUCGUCACCUCUGUUCCUAAUUUAUUGGAAAAACUCAGUAGAGUGCAAGUUACAACAGUUUCCAAAAACUAGUUCAGCGGGACAUUUCUAACACUAGGACAAGUGCAAUUGGUGGGCGCGUGUUGAACUAAGCUUUCUUUCUGAUUUGGCACGAGCAGUGAGCGGUCUAAAGUGAGCAAGAUAUAGUAAAUAAGAUCGUUACAUCUGGCGCCCAUAAGUUAUUGCCCUGAUCAAGGAAUCAAGGAGUUAAUAUGGACAAGAGCCCGCUGCACAGUCUGACAUGAAGGUACUGCAGGAGGAGCACCGGAAUGAUGCGCAGGCUGGCAGUGAUUACUCAGGCGUUAGCAGAAGCAGGCGAAACCUUUGGUGGGGAAGGGGGGUACGGUGUAUUGCACCACACCACAGCGCACACCCCGCGGUUUCCAUCGGCACCAUCAUCCUAACCAGCGCAACCAAAACAGCAAUAACAGCCUUGCAACAGCAGUACCAUAGCAGCAUCAGGAUGCGGUUACCAGAGCAGGGGGCAUUAAGAUCCACAAAUCCUGAUGCAGGAGAGCUGCAUGUCAACAACGGAGGAGGCAAGAAUGCCGAACGAUUGAAGGGCACUCAGGUCAAACUGUAAGCAACGGACCUUGAACCCGGAUGAAGCGGAGACACCGUGAGCUAACGGUGCCGAGCAGGACAUUCGACUCACGGCAAGGGCUACAUGGGCAACAAAGUCAAACGCAAAAUACGCUCCGUGUACUAACGGUAUGGCAGUGGACCUUGGCUGAAGAAGAAGGAUAACAACGGGACCACCACAGGAUAUUAAAGGUCGGCGCAAGUGCAGCUCACCUCGAAGUAAUAGUGCAAAAAUCAGAGCAAGUGCGUAAUCGAGACCAGUAGCAAGUAAAUCAAGGGCCAAGUGCCAGAAUCACAACGCUGAGAUCCAACGGUGCUAGGUCGUGGUUAAAUCUAAAUUGUUUUUAAAAUGCACAGUUAAAUAACAAAUGUUUUACGGUCAGGUAUUACAUUUUUUCGGACAAAUAACACUGUGCAACCAUUCGAAGUUGAUGACAAAAUACAUUGGUGCGACUAUAUAUGCGUAACAAAUCUUUGUGUGCUGAGCACGACCAAAUUCUAAGAAUUUUUGCACCACCCUCAGUUUUCGAAAAAAAUUAACUUAAAUCCCAAAAAGGACAAUUUUACGGGUUCUUUGAUUCUUAAUAACGGCCGAACUGAAUUUUACUGCCUAGACCUAUGAUAUUUUUACUAUAGGGCAACUAUUUGGCUAAGGAUCCUCAUACCCAUAACAACCGAGAGAUUUUUUUUUAAAUUUUAUAUUUAAAAAAAGAAUGCAAACACAUCAAAAGACCUAAAAGUGCUUUGUUUAAUAAUGACUAAAAGUAGCCUAUACCAAAUUUUGGAAGUGCCUACAGUAUUGAUUUAAAAUAUUGUUGAACGUUUAUGCACUAUCAAGUGGCCCAAGGAAACCAAGCACGAGCUUGUUACGCGCGGGCCCCAAUGGUAUAGUGGGCAACUCCCUGGUUGGUCUAUGGUGCAGCUGUGUUCUCAUGCGCCGGAUCAAUUUCAGUUCCGUUGACAAAGAUCUAUCAUAAACCAAAUGAUCAAUGCACCUUUUAUGCCAUUUGAAAGGAAUCCUUUAUUAAUCUACUUCACAAAAAGGCAGAAAGACUGACAUUAGCAGCUACCGUGACAUUGCCAAACAUAGUGCUAUUCUAAAACUUAAAAAAAAAAAUAUCCAUACGGCACUUAUUUUAUUGAAUCUUCUCUCUUCUAACCAAUUCCCAAUAUAUUCCGUCUUCCGUUUGCCGUUUAACGUCAAUAUUCCACUGUCAACAUCUGUUGUUCUUAUCUAUUAGAAUGAGCCUGACUGAAAUACGAUAGGCGGAACUGAACUGUUGAUUAGUGGAUUUGCCCCUCUUCGUUGCUGAUAGCCAAAUCUCCUGUCUGUGUUUGUAAAGGUGAUUCACUCUCGGUGGGUGGACAUAUACAUAGGCCUGAUUGAGUAUUCCACAGUGGAUAUCGUUUGCUGUUUGCGACUUUUAGAUGAUAUUUUGCAUGCCACUCGCG